RNAcentral lists this ribosomal RNA (442 nucleotides) under uncultured soil bacterium. Its description in RNAcentral is "bacterial SSU rRNA". It matches the Rfam family "Bacterial small subunit ribosomal RNA", at positions 26 to 479 of the family's 1533-position model. The record is from RNAcentral.
AGAUUGAACGCUGGCGGCAUGCCUAACACAUGCAAGUCGAACGGGAGUAGCAAUACUCUAGUGGCGGACGGGUGAGGAAUACGUAGGAAUUUGCCCUUAAGUGGGGGAUAACCCGGGGAAACCCGGAUUAAUACCGCAUGACCUCGAAAGAGCAAAGUGGGGGAUCGCAAGACCUCACGCUUUUGGAGAAGCCUACGUCGGAUUAGCUAGUUGGUGAGGUAAUGGCUCACCAAGGCGACGAUCCGUAACUGGUCUGAGAGGAUGAUCAGUCACACCGGAACUGAGACACGGUCCGGACUCCUACGGGAGGCAGCAGGUGGGGAAUAUUGGACAAGUGGGCGCAAGCCUGAUCCAGCAAUGCCGCGUGUGUAGAAGAAGGCCGUUCGGGUUGUAAAGCUAACGUUUUAAGGUUAGGAAACGAAAAACGUCGACUACUAAACAC